This 559-nucleotide ribosomal RNA is filed under the name uncultured marine crenarchaeote. RNAcentral describes it as "bacterial SSU rRNA". It matches the Rfam family "Archaeal small subunit ribosomal RNA", at positions 1 to 565 of the family's 1478-position model. The record is from RNAcentral. Lineage: Archaea; Thermoproteati; Thermoproteota.
UUCCGGUUGAUCCCGCCGGACCUGACUGCUAUCGGAUUGAUACUAAGCCAUGCGAGUCAUUGUAGCAAUACAAGGCAUACGGCUCAGUGACGCGUAGUCAACCUAACCUAUGGACGGGAAUAACCUCGGGAAACUGAGAAUAAUGCCCGAUAGAACAUUAUGCCUGGAAUGGUUUAUGUUCCAAAUGAUUUAUCGCCGUAGGAUGGGACUGCGGCCUAUCAGUUUGUUGGUGAGGUAAUGGCCCACCAAGACUAUUACAGGUACGGGCUCUGAGAGGAGUAGCCCGGAGAUGGGUACUGAGACACGGACCCAGGCCCUAUGGGGCGCAGCAGGCGAGAAAACUUUGCAAUGUGCGAAAGCACGACAAGGUUAAUCCGAGUGGUUUCUGCUAAAGAAACCUUUUGUCAGUCCUAGAAACACUGAUGAAUAAGGGGUGGGCAAGUUCUGGUGUCAGCCGCCGCGGUAAAACCAGCACCUCAAGUGGUCAGGAUGAUUAUUGGGGCCUAAAGCAUUCCGUAGCCGGCUCUGUAAGUUUUCGGUUUAAUCUGUACCUCAACGU